This is a long non-coding RNA of Stomoxys calcitrans (stable fly), 4464 nucleotides long. RefSeq lists it as uncharacterized. Lineage: Eukaryota; Metazoa; Arthropoda; Insecta; Diptera; Muscidae. The transcript is spliced from 5 exons. The record is from RefSeq and is a predicted model, not a curated record.
CGUAUUGCAUUAUAAAGGGAAAACGAAUCGUUUGUUCAAAACCCCUUUGGUCUGAACCAAGGCGGAUUUUAAAAGGUGGUCUCACGCAAACAGCCGGCCAGGUUUGACGGUAUUAACAUGUCAGAUUUUUGUUUGUAUUUUCUUUGUUAUUAUCUUCCUUCUCCCGAAUUCUCUGCUCAUGUACGCACACGUACACCUUCAAAUUUCUUUGUUUGUUUUGGCAAAACUUCGAUCAGCUUGAUGGCAAGAUGGCAGAUUGCACCAUAUGAUUUGUGGUUGUUGUACAAAUGAGACCAUGACAUAACUACCAGGUAGUGUACCGUAAACAGCUCAGUACAAUUUUUUCUCGCGAAGUGCACUAUCUGUCAACGAGUUUUAGUUGUGUGUGUGUGUAUUAUAGUUAAGAACCAUAGCACACACAAACACCAAAAAUGGCGCGAACUAGUAACAUACAUGAAAUCAGGGUUGCACUAAUCACUGAUUUUGAAAAAUAGUGCACUCAACAUUUUGUUGUUGGGCAACUGCCACUACCUGUAAAUGAAUAUAUCUUGAAUGCGACCAAAUUUUGACAGUUGGAGAAUAGAAAAUCUGCAAAUUUCUACUGCGACUUUUUUUGCCAGCAGAUAUUUGUUUUGUGUAAAGCAGCCGUUACAUGGAAAUACAAAAGCUAACGCCAAAAUUUGUCAAAGAGGUAAGUAAAAAAUAAAAAUAUUGUUUAUUGGUAAUUAUUAAAUUUGUUUAACUUUUAUUUACGUUUAAAGAAGUUUCAUGGCAGCAGCUAGCUAUAGAAAACUCAACAAAUAAAGUUUUAAUUUUACCUCAAGUCGGUUGUUCUAUAUUAGAAGACAUCAAGAAAAAAGCAACUAUAAGUUUCUUAAGUGUUUUGAAGGAAUCAUCCUCAUCGGAAAGCUACGCUGAACCCAACACCGUUUCUUUGAAUUUGUUAAGGAGGGAAGAUUGAAUCGGUCUAGCUGGACAGUUAAACAAUUGGCGCACAGUGGGACUAGAAAAAAUUAGUCUUCAUAUAUAUAUUUCACAAUAAUUCUAUUACUAAUUUGUAUAAAUUUUCCUUUUCUGUUUUUCUUCCUCAUCCUCUAUGGGAACCAGGUGCUGCUUUCAGGUAAAAGCAUGGCGUGCUGUGCCGGGCUGUAUCAUUGUCAGUGCCCAUGAUGAAUGUUCAUGGAAUUCAGCAUACAGGUUCAAGGCCAGAAGUAUUAUAGAUGAUUUUCCGUUCGAAGAUUUCCAUCUCUUUGGCUACUGAUGGGGAAACAGUAAACCAUAUUUGAAAUCCGUAUGAUAGCAUAGGUCUGAUGGCCAUUUUGUAUAGCAACAACUUUGUGGGUUGGGUGUUGACCGGGCAUGUGUAUUAAACUUCAGUAAUGCCUGGGCAUUUGAUUUUGGAUUCCACUGGGACUCCAUCAAAGGUGUUGCAGGACUUUAUCGCGGGCGAUUUGCAUAUAGAAUUGGCUAUGAGUUAUGUGUCGUAUGAGGAAAAUCAUGCAGGAAAAAAUUAAAAAGAUGUGGAGCUAACACACUUUCUUGCAGUACUCCACUAUUAACAGGUCCUAUAUCAGAAGAGAUAUUUUGGAUCUCAACACAAAAUCUUCGAAUUGAAAAGAAACUGUGUAUUGUUUUAACCAGGUAAGGAUCCAACUCAAGGUCAAUAAGUUUGUAUAAAAUGCCUUGGUGAUUUACAGAAUCAAAAGCUUUUUCAAUGUCAAGGGAAAUAGCAAUUGUACAUGUUUGGUUUCACAGGUUAGUAACAAUAUCAUUGUGAAAUUUCAACAACACAAGCAUGUUGUGUUGAAUGCGCUUUUCUAAAGCCAAAUUGAAAAUCGGAUAUUGGCUCAAUCACAAAACUGUUUUAAAUUUUUUCCUUAAUGAUUGUUCAAACAAUUUCCCGACAUUGGACAGAAGAGAAAUCGGACGAUAUUCAGCUGGAGUCAUGGAAUGAGUUUUCUUUUUGAUAGCGAUUAUUUUUGCCACUUUCCAAUCUAUGGGAAAGUAUCCAUUGUUCAAGCAAUUGUUGAAAAUGCAGGAGAGUAAAUUUAAUGUGGAGUAGGGGAAUCUCUUUAUUAGAAAAUUUGAAAUUCCAUCGAGGCCGCUCGAUUUUUUAUUAUUCGUAGAUUUAAUAAUGCUUUUGAUUUUUGCAGUAUCGGUGAAAUGGAAGUUAUCUUGAUUUUGAAGGGCGUUAAAUUCGUCAUCAAAUGUAAAAAUGUGACGGGGGAUGGCAAUUCAAUACCCUAGAAUUGAAAUCUUCAACUGGACGUGGGGGUAAUCUUCUACUGAAUGUGUUCGAGUUAAACUCGCGGAACUGUUGGGCUAUAUCGGAACUAUUGAGUAUGUUAUUAUCAUGGACAAUUUGCUGACAAAAAGGUGAUUUAGAUUUCCCUGUGAUUUGGUAAAUCUUUUUAAAAGCGGAUGGACCAGGUUUAAUAGUUUGUAAUUUUUUGUCGAAUUUUUCUGCUUGUUCUAUGUUGACAGUUUCCUUUAUUAUUAUUUUUACCAGUUGUAUCUGAUAAGAAAGAAGUUUGUACUCACUACUUGUUCUAUUUCCAGAACGAUGAAAUAUCAUUUUUAUUCUUUCUGCUAAAGAUGUUUAAUUUUGUAGAGCUUUUUAGCCUUUUCGGAAAGAGGAAAUUUGUUGUUAUGGAUUUGAACCUGCUUUGUGUGACGAUUAUGUAUACCUUUAAAUGAAGAGUUGAAAUCAUCAAUUAAUGUAUCUAUUUCUUCAUUUUCCAGGUUGGAAGAGCAAAGAGGCAUAAUAUGGCAAGAAGCUGAGUCCAUGUCUUAUAUAAAAUGGCUCCAGUAUUAAUCCUUAUAUGAUGUAAAAGUACGUGGAAUUCUCAUAAGGACCUCGAGAUGAUCUAGACGGAGGGACAAUUUGAUUGGGAAAUGAUAUGAGAAUGAUGGUAAAGAUGUUAAAAAAAAUUUGGUACUAUUUCGUUUAAGAGAUGAGGGCUAACAAGAAAAUGGUCCAAAAAUGAAGACCAAUUUGGAUAUGAUGACGUAGAGCCACAUAUUCGAGCCACGUCAAGGUUGUUGUCCUCUAAUCAUCUUCGCAAAAGUCUACCGUUUGCAUUUUCCGUUGCAUCUCCCCAUGUCUGACUUUUUGAGUUCAAGUCACCUCCCAGGAUAAAUCCAUCAAAAUUUCCGUAAAUUUGGGUGACUUUGGAAAGAUCUGCCUCAAUUUUAUGACUUUGAUAAUUACAUUGGACGUAAAUCGAUCCAAUCAAAUAUUUCUUGCAGACGUUAUUGUUCAAAAAUUCUAUUUGAGCUAUUCCAGGAUCGUUAAGGAAAAUUCGGUUAAACUGAAUCGGAUUUUUAACAACAAUGGCGACUCCAGUAGAUGAGUUGUCAUAGAUGAAAUUAUAUCCAUCUAAUUUUAUCUUCUUUCUCUUCAGAUUGCACUCCUGUAUGAAUCCCAUAUCUAUUUUGUUACGUUGGAGAAUGUUCGUUAGCUCUAUUUGGAGACUGGCUUCAAGAAGAGACAUUACAUUGUAAGUUACAAAAUUAAGCAACCUAUGGUCCAUAAUUAUUUCUUACUUUAUUUAGUAGGCUCAAAAAUUCUGUUUUGGCCUCGGGUUUGGACAUAGUCGAAUACUCAGAGGGGAAUAUGUUAACCUCUUGUUCCAUUGUCAAUUCCUCUGGUUCUAGAAACAGCGAAGCCAUUUUCAGAAACUGUUCGAUAACAGGAGGCUUGUUUUGCUGGAAAUUAUCUCGCAGUGAAGAACCGGAUUGGAAAAGACUUGAGAAUGUUUGCCCCGCCAUUCUCAUGGACAUGUCCAUAGCUCUAUUUACGUUGCCCUAGCCUGAGCCUUUUCUUUAGUCGCUUUUGCAAUUCUUUGCUGGCGAGCAGCAGCGUACUUUUUGUAAGUCGGACAUCCACGCCAAUUCGCUGGAUGGCCUGUAUCACCGCAAUUAUUACAAAAGGGAUUCACGGAAUCUUCCCUCUUGUAUUGGCACUCGCCUGGGCCAUUAUUUUGAUCGCAUUUCACACAUCUGGCAUCUAUGGCAUUGGAUAUCAGACUCUUUCUUUUUUGGCUUUUCCCAAGUGACAAUUUAAUUCUGCAAUCCUCCAAUGGUAGAUAUGUCAGAGAUCCAGUAUCAUUAUUUUUCAGUGUCUUGUAUUUCACUACAUUGGCAACAGUAUCUGGAAUUUUCUCGUUUAAUUCAGCUUUAAUGUCAUCUAUUUCAGUGUUUGCAGUAAGCCCUCUUAAAACAAAGGAAACUUGUUUCAUUUCUUUCGGUGUGAAAGAAUAGGAGUGUACUCCUUUAUCUCGCAUAACCGCCAUCAUCGAGGAGUGAACAGAUGGGUCAGAGAAAUAAAUCUUGCUCUUAGUUUUAUUAAUAUUUUUUACCUUGAAAGAGGCAGUACCAAUUGUAUCCCUAAAGGAGUCGACAAGGGCUUUUACAUUAACAUUGUAAAUAAAUAUCGGUGGACACCAUCUUGGUUUUGAUUAA